CAAGAGUCUAGGAUGAAUUAAUUCAAUUUGGGAUUCUUCUCUCUGGGUGCUCUGAUCUGUAACUCAGUCUAUUGCCCUUAGUCAGUCAAUCUCCUCCUUUCUUAGCCCUCUGUUUUCUCCUUUGAUCUUUUUUUAAGAUGAUCUGAAGCUCUUCAUCAUGCAAUAUGUAUAUAUCCUGUAUCCAUCUAACCUGUAUGAUUAACUGAUUGAUACAUUCAUCUUUAC
Pelobates cultripes (western spadefoot toad) is the source of this 225-nucleotide non-coding RNA. The record is from the annotation of a GenBank genome assembly. Lineage: Eukaryota; Metazoa; Chordata; Amphibia; Anura; Pelobatidae.